Phycodurus eques (leafy seadragon) is the source of this 664-nucleotide long non-coding RNA. RefSeq lists it as uncharacterized. The record is from RefSeq and is a predicted model, not a curated record. NCBI's taxonomy places the organism in Eukaryota, Metazoa, Chordata, Actinopteri, Syngnathiformes, Syngnathidae. The transcript has 3 exons.
ACCUGGAAAACCUGUAAGACUUGCUGACACUCCCGCUCUGCUCCAGAUGUAAUGUGCGGAGUCCGUCCGAGGCGUUGAGAGAAGAGAUUGCAAGCGACAGAACGCAAAGGGCCUAUAACGCAUCCUCGGUUUAUUGGGCUGCACAAUCCACGCUAUGCCCGUAGUUUCCAAUGAGGGGGAGGAGUGGGACGAGAAGCUUCCUCCGUACCAGGAUCAGCCUCCGCCAUACCAGGAUCAGCCUCAGAGGGUCCAGGUGACCGAGAGCAGGAGUGACCGUGACAGCGAAGGCAGUAGCAAGUGCCCCAAAUGCUGCCUUAAGACGCGCAACUGCCUCAUGAGCGCCGAAUGCGGCCGGGCGCUGCAGAUCUCCAGUGUAAUCGCCAUGUGUGGAAUGUGCCUCCGCUUCUUUGUCUAAUCUCCAAUCCCGACCCAACUUUUCCAGGCCACAUUGACUCCUCCGCGGUCCUUCAAUAUCUUGCAAAGGAUCUAUUGCUUUUAGGGUGCCAAAUGCGAUCGUACAUUCAUUAUGUAUGCUAUGAGAAUGAGUGGUGAGGUUGUGCUGUUGUGAAUUUAAAUCAGUUUCUUAAUAAUAUAUCAUUGUUUUUAAAGACAAAGCUUGUGUGAUGUAUUGUACUUUGAAAUAAAAUACAAUGGAAAAAAAGAC